Long non-coding RNA from Sinocyclocheilus rhinocerous, 1399 nucleotides. RefSeq lists it as uncharacterized. The record is from RefSeq and is a predicted model, not a curated record. NCBI's taxonomy places the organism in Eukaryota, Metazoa, Chordata, Actinopteri, Cypriniformes, Cyprinidae. The transcript is spliced from 2 exons.
UCUUGUGCAUGUAAACAAGAUUGUGCUCACGUCUCCACUGUUUUGUGUGUGUUGUACCCAAUGUAGGUUUGUGAGCUUGACAUCAUUUUUAACUUUGAGAAAGCUUACUUUAUCCUGGACGAGUUUCUUAUGGGGGGAGAAAUUCAGGACACAUCCAAGAAGAGCGUGCUGAAGGCCAUCGAGCAAGCCGACCUUCUACAAGAGGAGGAUGAGUCACCCAGGAGCGUCCUAGAGGAGAUGGGGCUGGCCUAGUACUAGUUUCAAAUGCAGUCAAGACAGAUGGUAAAUUUUGGUACUACUGCGACAUGUGGGUUUAUGUGAAGGGGAGUUUGUGAAUGGGUCCAAAGCGUGGGAGGAGAACAGGGGAAUAAAAGAGGGUAGGUGGGGUUAAUUUUGGUACUACUGAGAUCAGCAUGUGAUUGUAUUUCAAUUCCGACCUUUUUUUGUCUUUUACAUUUUAAAAUGGCUGCCUAGCUGGGAUCUCAUCUUUCUUAAGAGACACUGUAGAAAGAGAGUUGCGGAUAGACACUCAAAUUUAGCAAUCAGAAACAUAUUUAGAAAAAGGAGUUGAGCCUUGCCAUUUUAACAACAGGUCAUGCAAUCUCAGCUUUUAGUUUUAUUUCAAAGAAUGAUUUAUUGUUACAUUGAUCAAGUGACCUGCUUUGGAAAAACCUCAAAUUGAAUCCAAUGCCAUUACUAUACAUCUACUGUAGCUGCUCAGGAAACAAUGACAUUGACCAUCCAGCCAUGUUUAUUUGUGUGAGAUGCAAAUAUUUGUACUUGUACCACUUUAAAAUGAAGUGCUAUUGCAGCAUAUGGACCAUAAGUAAAUCUACUAAUGUUUUUUUUUUAUAAUGGAUCGAUUUUGAAGAUAUAUUCACCAAACAGGAGGAAUAUUUAAUAGACCUUUUUAAAUGGCUACAAUACUGAAUUGACUAUAUUCAGUAUUCAUUUCUAUUCAUUUUGUUUUGUCCUUUGAGCCACAGUAGUAAAACGUCUGAAUGUGUAUUACUUCGAGAACAGGGCACUGAAUCUCAACCACAAAAUGGCGUGAAAGCUCUUUCCUGUUUGUCUUGGUCUACAUCCUGCUUUUCAAAGACGUGUUUCUGACUGUAAGCGUGGCGUUUGAGUUAUAAUAAGUAAGGGAGUAUUUGUAGCUUGUUUCAGAUAACAAAAGAGGGCUUUGCUAUUAGGUGUGAUGUAUUUACAUGGCUUUUUAAACGUGGUGUGAAAUAAGGGAAUAUUUUGAGAUUAACUGUUUCUUUUUUUUUUUUUUAAAGCAAUUGAAUAAUUCAGCAUGAAGACAUGUUUUUACCUGUGUAAAAUCUGUCAGGUAACCAAAACAGAAUUAUGUGUGAAUGUAAUUUUAUAAAUAAUAAAAACACAAUUUUAGCCUAAA